RNAcentral lists this ribosomal RNA (424 nucleotides) under Salmonella enterica subsp. enterica serovar Enteritidis. RNAcentral describes it as "partial 23S ribosomal RNA". It matches the Rfam family "Bacterial large subunit ribosomal RNA", at positions 161 to 590 of the family's 2925-position model. RNAcentral also lists the same sequence under 1 other name. The record is from RNAcentral. Lineage: Bacteria; Pseudomonadati; Pseudomonadota; Gammaproteobacteria; Enterobacterales; Enterobacteriaceae.
AAUCCAUAGGUUAAUGAGGCGAACCGGGGGAACUGAAACAUCUAAGUACCCCGAGGAAAAGAAAUCAACCGAGAUUCCCCCAGUAGCGGCGAGCGAACGGGGAGGAGCCCAGAGCCUGAAUCAGCAUGUGUGUUAGUGGAAGCGUCUGGAAAGGCGCGCGAUACAGGGUGACAGCCCCGUACACAAAAGCGCAUGUGCUGUGAGCUCGAUGAGUAGGGCGGGACACGUGGUAUCCUGUCUGAAUAUGGGGGGACCAUCCUCCAAGGCUAAAUACUCCUGACUGACCGAUAGUGAACCAGUACCGUGAGGGAAAGGCGAAAAGAACCCCGGCGAGGGGAGUGAAAAAGAACCUGAAACCGUGUACGUACAAGCAGUGGGAGCCCCACCACCAAAGCAUUUGCUGUACCGCGUUGACGGAGCGAAG